This 468-nucleotide ribosomal RNA is filed under the name uncultured Peptococcaceae bacterium. RNAcentral's name for it is "bacterial SSU rRNA". It matches the Rfam family "Bacterial small subunit ribosomal RNA", at positions 920 to 1382 of the family's 1533-position model. The record is from RNAcentral. Lineage: Bacteria; Bacillati; Bacillota; Clostridia; Eubacteriales; Peptococcaceae.
CCCGGCACAAGCGGUGGAGCAUGUGGUUUAAUUCGACGCAACGCGAAGAACCUUACCAGGUCUUGACAUCCCUUGACAGCCUCAGAGAUGAGGUGUUCUAGCUUCGGUUAGACAAGGAGACAGGUGGUGCAUGGUUGUCGUCAGCUCGUGUCGUGAGAUGUUGGGUUAAGUCCCGCAACGAGCGCAACCCUUGUUCUUAGUUGCCAUCAGGUAAUGCUGGGCACUCUAAGGAUACUGCCGGUGACAAACCGGAGGAAGGUGGGGAUGACGUCAAAUCAUCAUGCCCUUUAUGACCUGGGCUACACACGUGCUACAAUGGCCUAUACAAAGGGUUGCGAAGCUGUGAAGUGGAGCCAAUCCCAAAAAGUAGGUCUCAGUUCGGAUUGUAGGCUGCAACUCGCCUACAUGAAGUCGGAAUCGCUAGUAAUCGCGGAUCAGCAUGCCGCGGUGAAUACGUUCCCGGGCCUU